Long non-coding RNA from Perca flavescens (yellow perch), 456 nucleotides. RefSeq lists it as uncharacterized. NCBI's taxonomy places the organism in Eukaryota, Metazoa, Chordata, Actinopteri, Perciformes, Percidae. The transcript has 4 exons. The record is from RefSeq and is a predicted model, not a curated record.
AGUGUAAGGUUAUCAGUUCAGACACAUGAGUAGAUCUAGAGUAGUAUUUGUACAAACUCUUUUAAUUAACAUAAGUCGUUGUACUAAGAUUGUUGAAUACUGAGCACUAAUAUCUGACCGUGGUUAUCUUUCAUAGGUAAAUGUCCCACGUCGACUUCUGAGAGUGUCCCACAGAGAGAAAGGAAACAAGUUAACGAGGUGGAUGAAGAUGGAGAUUCUGACCUCUUCUCCCCCAAAAGGAGACUGGAGCCCCUCAGUGAGGAUGGGAGUACAGGUGUAGAUGAUCAGAGUCCAGGAAAAAGCCUGGUGCUGAGGCCCUCACAGAAGAAGAAAAGAUGUAAAAAGUCCAAAACAGUGGAAGCAAUGGUGCCACCCAUAGUAAAGGUGAAGAGACCAUGGAGUGAAGCAGAGAGGAGUGCGGUAAACAAACACAUGGCAAAGUUUAUUGCUGAGCGC